UUGUAACGUGCUUGCUUGUUUC
Molecule: non-coding RNA, 22 nt
Filed under: Arabidopsis thaliana (thale cress)
Lineage: Eukaryota; Viridiplantae; Streptophyta; Magnoliopsida; Brassicales; Brassicaceae
Source: RNAcentral